Molecule: ribosomal RNA, 253 nt
Filed under: uncultured bacterium
Lineage: Bacteria
Description: partial 16S ribosomal RNA
Rfam family: Bacterial small subunit ribosomal RNA
Source: RNAcentral
UACGUAGGGUGCGAGCGUUGUCCGGAAUUAUUGGGCGUAAAGAGCUCGUAGGCGGUUUGUUGCGUCUAUCGUGAAAACCUGCAGCUUAACUGUGGGCUUGCGGUGGAUACGGGCAGACUUGAGUUCGGUAGGGGAGACUGGAAUUCCUGGUGUAGCGGUGAAAUGCGCAGAUAUCAGGAGGAACACCGGUGGCGAAGGCGGGUCUCUGGGCCGAUACUGACGCUGAUGUGCGAAAGCGUGGGGAGCAAACAGG